AGUCGAGCGGCAGCACGGGGAGCUUGCUCCCUGGUGGCGAGCGGCGGACGGGUGAGUAACGCAUAGGAAUCUGCCCGGUAGUGGGGGAUAACCUGGGGAAACCCAGGCUAAUACCGCAUACGUCCUACGGGAGAAAGCAGGGGACCUUCGGGCCUUGCGCUAUCGGAUGAGCCUAUGCCGGAUUAGCUAGUUGGUGAGGUAAUGGCUCACCAAGGCGACGAUCCGUAGCUGGUCUGAGAGGAUGAUCAGCCACACUGGGACUGAGACACGGCCCAGACUCCUACGGGAGGCAGCAGUGGGGAAUAUUGGACAAUGGGGGCAACCCUGAUCCAGCCAUGCCGCGUGUGUGAAGAAGGCCUUCGGGUUGUAAAGCACUUUCAGCGAGGAAGAAGGCCUUGGGGUUAAUAACCCCGAGGAAGGACAUCACUCGCAGAAGAAGCACCGGCUAACUCCGUGCCAGCAGCCGCGGUAAUACGGAGGGUGCGAGCGUUAAUCGGAAUUACUGGGCGUAAAGCGCGCGUAGGCGGCUGAAUAAGCCGGUUGUGAAAGCCCCGGGCUCAACCUGGGAACGGCAUCCGGAACUGUUUGGCUAGAGUGCAGGAGAGGAAGGUAGAAUUCCCGGUGUAGCGGUGAAAUGCGUAGAGAUCGGGAGGAAUACCAGUGGCGAAGGCGGCCUUCUGGACUGACACUG
RNAcentral lists this ribosomal RNA (691 nucleotides) under Halomonas sp. YIM 93877. RNAcentral describes it as "bacterial SSU rRNA". It matches the Rfam family "Bacterial small subunit ribosomal RNA", at positions 60 to 742 of the family's 1533-position model. Lineage: Bacteria; Pseudomonadati; Pseudomonadota; Gammaproteobacteria; Oceanospirillales; Halomonadaceae. The record is from RNAcentral.